UGCCAGACUCCUACGGGAGGCAGCAGUGGGGAAUAUUGCACAAUGGGGGAAACCCUGAUGCAGCGACGCCGCGUGAGCGAUGAAGUAUUUCGGUAUGUAAAGCUCUAUCAGCAGGGAAGAAGAUGACGGUACCUGACUAAGAAGCCCCGGCUAACUACGUGCCAGCAGCCGCGGUAAUACGUAGGGGGCAAGCGUUAUCCGGAUUUACUGGGUGUAAAGGGAGCGUAGACGGCGAUGCAAGCCAGAUGUGAAAGCCCGGGGCUCAACCCCGGGACUGCAUUUGGAACUGUGUGGCUGGAGUGUCGGAGAGGCAGGCGGAAUUCCUAGUGUAGCGGUGAAAUGCGUAGAUAUUAGGAGGAACACCAGUGGCGAAGGCGGCCUGCUGGGCUUUUACUGACGCUGAGGCUCGAAAGUGUGGGGAGCAAACAGGAUUAGAUACCCCUGUA
Molecule: ribosomal RNA, 446 nt
Filed under: uncultured bacterium
Lineage: Bacteria
Description: bacterial SSU rRNA
Rfam family: Bacterial small subunit ribosomal RNA
Source: RNAcentral